Molecule: ribosomal RNA, 886 nt
Filed under: uncultured Bacillota bacterium
Lineage: Bacteria; Bacillati; Bacillota
Description: bacterial SSU rRNA
Rfam family: Bacterial small subunit ribosomal RNA
Source: RNAcentral
GUUCAGGAUGAACGCUGGCGGCGUGCCUAACACAUGCAAGUCGAACGAAGCACUGCAAACGGAGAUUCGUCAAAGUUUGCUUUGACUUAGUGGCGGACGGGUGAGUAAUGUAUGAGCAACCUGCCUUUCAGUGGAGGACAACAGUUGGAAACGACUGCUAAUACCGCAUGAUGUCAAUUGGGGGCAUCCCCGAAUGACCAAAGGAUUUAUUCGCUGAAAGAUGGGCUCAUAUCUGAUUAGCUAGUUGGUGAGGUAACGGCUCACCAAGGCUGCGAUCAGUAGCCGGACUGAGAGGUUGAACGGCCACAUUGGGACUGAGAUACGGCCCAGACUCCUACGGGAGGCAGCAGUGGGGAAUAUUGGGCAAUGGGCGAAAGCCUGACCCAGCAACGCCGCGUGAAGGAAGAAGGUCUUCGGAUUGUAAACUUCUUUUAUGAGGGACGAAGGACGUGACGGUACCUCAUGAAUAAGCCACGGCUAACUACGUGCCAGCAGCCGCGGUAAUACGUAGGUGGCAAGCGUUAUCCGGAUUUACUGGGUGUAAAGGGCGCGUAGGCGGGGAUGCAAGUCAGAUGUGAAAUCUAUGGGCUUAACCCAUAAACUGCAUUUGAAACUGUAUCUCUUGAGUGCUGGAGAGGUAGACGGAAUUCCUUGUGUAGCGGUGAAAUGCGUAGAUAUAAGGAAGAACACCAGUGGCGAAGGCGGUCUACUGGACAGUAACUGACGCUGAGGCGCGAGAGCGUGGGGAGCAAACAGGAUUAGAUACCCUGGUAGUCCACGCUGUAAACGAUGAAUACUAGGUGUGGGGGGACUGACCCCUUCCGUGCCGCAGUUAACACAAUAAGUAUUCCACCUGGGGAGUACGGCCGCAAGGUUGCAACUCAAA